This 585-nucleotide ribosomal RNA is filed under the name uncultured bacterium. RNAcentral describes it as "bacterial SSU rRNA". It matches the Rfam family "Bacterial small subunit ribosomal RNA", at positions 338 to 916 of the family's 1533-position model. The record is from RNAcentral.
CCUACGGGAGGCAGCAGUGGGGAAUAUUGGACAAUGGGCGAAAGCCUGAUCCAGCAAUUCCGCGUGUGUGAAGAAGGCCUUCGGGUUGUAAAGCACUUUAGGUUGGGAAGAAAAAGCUCCGGUGAAUAUCCGGAGUGUUGACGGUACCAACAGAAUAAGCACCGGCUAACUCUGUGCCAGCAGCCGCGGUAAUACAGAGGGUGCAAGCGUUAAUCGGAUUUACUGGGCGUAAAGCGUGCGCAGGUGGUUUCGUAAGUCGGAUGUGAAAGCCCCGGGCUCAACCUGGGAACUGCGUUCGAUACUGCGAGACUAGAGUUUGGUAGAGGGUGGCGGAAUUCCCGGUGUAGCGGUGAAAUGCGUAGAUAUCGGGAGGAACAUCAAUGGCGAAGGCAGCCACCUGGGCCUGAACUGACACUGAGGCACGAAAGCGUGGGUAGCAAACAGGAUUAGAUACCCUGGUAGUCCACGCCGUAAACGAUGAGAACUUGACGUCGGCCCGUUUUACGAGUCGGUGUCGUAGCUAACGCGAUAAGUUCUCCGCCUGGGGAGUACGGCCGCAAGGUUGAAACUUAAAGGAAUUGACGG